UUCCACUAGGAUGACCUUAAUAAGAGAGGCACCUGCUUCCACUGAAUGACCAUAUUACAAAGGAUGUCUCUCAAAUCUGAGUUUACGUCAACACCAACAUUCAGAUCUAAGAGAUGUUCUUACACCCUAAUAUAAAAGGAAAAAGUGGAAGACAUUCUCAAAAUUUCUUCCCAACCCACGACUUUCUGUCGCUCCUCUCAAAAUCGCUAGAGAGACACACCAGCAAAGGAAACUCAAUGGCGAGUCUGCACACUAGGAAACUUGUCAGCGACUACACUGGUAUUACAUGGCUAGUGUUCUUUUCUCUCUCUACCGCUCUCUCCUCCGUUUUAGUGGAUUUCCUUCCUUUGUCAAGGUUAGCAGUGGCAAAGAUUUCUACAGACCACCGCGACUUUGCAUAAUUGUGAUUAGACCUAGUUCUGGGGUGACAGGUAAAAAGAAGAAGAAGAAAUGAAGUGCAAAAAAGAUUAGUAGUCCUUUGAAGGUGAUAGCUAAUGCAAUUGUGGAGAUGGCCAGGCAUGACUCCUGGAAGGAAUUUGCAUAAAACUUAUGUGUUGAGAUUGAUGCACUACUAGGAGUUGAGUUCGAAAAAAGAUUGUGUGCUAAACAAUUCUUCAUGCAACAGGACUUAGCUUCCAUCUUCUUGAAUGCCAAUGAGGCAGAUAAGCCCACGGUGUUUGAAUACUACAUGAAGAAUAGCGAGGUUGGUGGUAAAGAGUGAGGAGGCGUCACUUUAUUUCCUUAUGAUUUGUGUGUUGUUUCAAAACAUGAGUAAAUGGUUAGAGAAUUUAGUUUAUUGACUUGAAUUUAGACUUAUGUUAGUUGCUUAGAUUAUUCCUAUGAAUAUAUGUUUAAGAAUUUAGUGUUUAUGACUUUCUUUA
This is a long non-coding RNA of Macadamia integrifolia, 881 nucleotides long. RefSeq lists it as uncharacterized. The record is from RefSeq and is a predicted model, not a curated record. NCBI's taxonomy places the organism in Eukaryota, Viridiplantae, Streptophyta, Magnoliopsida, Proteales, Proteaceae. The transcript has 3 exons.